Molecule: small RNA, 150 nt
Filed under: Paenibacillus xerothermodurans
Lineage: Bacteria; Bacillati; Bacillota; Bacilli; Caryophanales; Paenibacillaceae
Description: Bacillus xerothermodurans c-di-AMP sequence
Rfam family: c-di-AMP riboswitch aptamer (ydaO/yuaA leader)
About the family: This family represents a conserved RNA structure found upstream of the ydaO and yuaA genes in Bacillus subtilis and related genes in other bacteria.
Source: Rfam by way of RNAcentral
AAUUGAAUACGGCCGAAUUUCUUUUGUGAAAACGGGGGAACCACUGUUUGUUUAUAGGGGUGAAUUCAUCGCCAUCUUAGCAUGGAAUGAUAGGGUACCUGUAAAACCCGAAUCCGUCAGCUAACCCCGUAGGCUUAUCACAGGAACCUA